GACGGAAGGUGCAAGCGUUGCUCGGAAUCACUGGGCGUAAAGGGUGCGUAGGCGGCUUGGUGGGUCUGGUGUGAAAGCCCCGGGCUCAACCUGGGAACGGCGCGCGAAACGGGAGGGCUGGAGUUCGGGAGAGGAGAGUGGAAUUCCCAGUGUAGAGGUGAAAUUCGUAGAUAUUGGGAAGAACACCGGUGGCGAAGGCGGCUCUCUGGACCGAGACUGACGCUGAGGCGCGAAAGCGUGGGGAGCAAACAGG
RNAcentral lists this ribosomal RNA (253 nucleotides) under uncultured bacterium. Its description in RNAcentral is "partial 16S ribosomal RNA". It matches the Rfam family "Bacterial small subunit ribosomal RNA", at positions 524 to 776 of the family's 1533-position model. The record is from RNAcentral.